GUGGGGAAUAUUGGACAAUGGGCGCAAGCCUGAUCCAGCCAUGCCGCGUGAGUGAUGAAGGCCCUAGGGUUGUAAAGCUCUUUCACCGGUGAAGAUAAUGACGGUAACCGGAGAAGAAGCCCCGGCUAACUUCGUGCCAGCAGCCGCGGUAAUACGAAGGGGGCUAGCGUUGUUCGGAAUUACUGGGCGUAAAGCGCACGUAGGCGGAUCGAUCAGUUAGGGGUGAAAUCCCGGGGCUCAACCCCGGAACUGCCUCUAGUACUGUCGAUCUGGAGUUCGAGAGAGGUGAGUGGGAUUCCGAGUGUAGAGGUGAAAUUCGUAGAUAUUCGGAGGAACACCAGUGGCGAAGGCGGCUCACUGGCUCGAUACUGACGCUGAGGUGCGAAAGCGUGGGGAGCAAACAGGAUUAGAAACCCCGGUAGUCC
This 425-nucleotide ribosomal RNA is filed under the name uncultured bacterium. RNAcentral describes it as "partial 16S ribosomal RNA". It matches the Rfam family "Bacterial small subunit ribosomal RNA", at positions 354 to 796 of the family's 1533-position model. The record is from RNAcentral.